This 301-nucleotide ribosomal RNA is filed under the name uncultured bacterium. Its description in RNAcentral is "partial 16S ribosomal RNA". It matches the Rfam family "Bacterial small subunit ribosomal RNA", at positions 509 to 808 of the family's 1533-position model. The record is from RNAcentral.
CAGUCGCCGCGGGAAUACGAAGGGUGCAAGCGUUAAUCGGAAUUACUGGGCGUAAAGCGUGCGUAGGCGGUGAGUUAAGUCUGCUGUGAAAUCCCCGGGCUUAACCUGGGAACUGCGCUUGUGACUGCACAGCUAGAGUAUGGCAGAGGGGGGUGGAAUUCCACGUGUAGCAGUGAAAUGCGUAGAGAUGUGGAGGAACACCGAUGGCGAAGGCAGCCCCCUGGGCCAACACUGACGCUCAUGCACGAAAGCGUGGGGAGCAAACAGGAUUAGAUACCCAGUAGUCCCUGUCUCUUAUACA